RNAcentral lists this ribosomal RNA (459 nucleotides) under uncultured bacterium. RNAcentral's name for it is "partial 16S ribosomal RNA". It matches the Rfam family "Bacterial small subunit ribosomal RNA", at positions 338 to 795 of the family's 1533-position model. The record is from RNAcentral.
CCUACGGGCGGCAUCAGUGAGGAAUAUUGGUCAAUGGUCGGGAGACUGAACCAGCCAAGCCGCGUGAGGGAGGAAGGUACAGAGUAUCGUAAACCUCUUUUGUCAGGGAACAAAGGCGGGGACGUGUCCCCGGAUGAGUGUACCUGAAGAAAAAGCAUCGACUAACUCCGUGCCAGCAGCCGCGGUAAUACGGAGGAUGCGAGCGUUAUCCGGAUUUAUUGGGUUUAAAGGGUGCGCAGGCGGUCUGUUAAGUCAGCGGUAAAAGCCCGGGGCUCAACCCCGGCCCGCCGUUGAAACUGGCAGUCUCGAGUUGGAGAGAAGUAUGCGGAAUGCGCGGUGUAGCGGUGAAAUGCAUAGAUAUCGCGCAGAACUCCGAUUGCGAAGGCAGCAUGCCGGCUCCACACUGACGCUGAGGCACGAAAGCGUGGGUAUCGAACAGGAUUAGAUACCCCUGUAGUC